GAUGAAGAACGUAGCGAAAUGCGAUAAGUAAUGUGAAUUGCAGAAUUCAGUGAAUCAUCGAAUCUUUGAACGCAUCUUGCGCUCCUUGGUAUUCCGAGGAGCAUGCCUGUUUGAGUGUCAUCAAGUUCUCAAACUGCAUCCAUUUGAAGGGCGUGGAUUUGGAUUAUGGAGUUUGCAGGCUCUUUGAUUGAGGUCUGCUCCUCUGAAAUGUAUUAGUGGCGAUGUGGAAAAGCUACUGUGGGUGUGAUAAAUAUCUAUGCCUUAUGCAGUGUUCUGCUAUGCCGCUUGCAGGGAGAAAUUUCAUUUUUGACAAACUUGACCUCAAAUCAGGUAGGACUACCCGCUGAACUUAAGCAUAUCAAUAAGCGGAGGA
Molecule: unclassified non-coding RNA, 373 nt
Filed under: soil metagenome
Description: partial contains 5.8S ribosomal RNA, internal transcribed spacer 2, and large subunit ribosomal RNA
Rfam family: 5.8S ribosomal RNA (bases 1-120)
Source: RNAcentral